AUAUGUUUUUUUUACACAUUAUAAGUACAUUUCCUUGCCAAACGAACAUCUUAUUAUCUUUUCGUCGAAAAGUGAGUCACUUCGUGAUUCAUUCUCUUGUCAAAAUCUCUAUUUUAUGUUUUAUUCUAUUUUCUUAUCCAUUAGUUCUAAAUCUUUAUAAAGAUAUAAACUGGCCGUAAAUUUUCUUUUAUUGAAAUUUUCUUCUCCCCUAAUUUGGUGGUUGGGAGUUUAUAGCUUGUUAAAUAUAUUUUUGGUGAUUAUUUCAAGAUCUGAAGCUUUUACAUCUCAGAUCUAAGAACUUGUCCUUUUUUUUGCGGUUUGUAUGUCUUGGUGGUGCACUUUUACUACAUCUUAAGUUAUUAGAUUCCAGAUCUAGAAAAUCACAGGGUUGAUCUACUUAAAUGAUGCGACUAGCAAUCAGAAUGAUCAAUAAUAAUGGUCGGAAAUAUUUCGAUGAGCACAAGAGACAUCUCUGGCGGUGCGCAAGUUGUUAUGUGCACAUCUUGGGUGGAUCCUUUCAAUUCUAAUCCCAAUGCAUAAAAUCUUUAACCGGAUGUCGGUAAGCUUACAAUUAAUUGUUUUUUGCAUUUAAUUAGAUAUUAUUAAAAAUCUUUCUUUGACUGUCAUUAUCGUCAUCCUCAUCAUCGUUAUUAUCAUUAUUUUUCUAUUGUUUUUAUAUUUAAUUGUGAAAUAAAAUUGGGCUUGUAGUCCAUUGGUAAUUCAUGCGUCCAAUAACCUUGAUCGCAUGAGUUUGAAUCUCAUAACUCGACUCUUCUUUCCUAAAUGUUUAUUUGACUCUCUGUUUUAGGAGUAGAAUAUAUUUUUCUCCUAUGUUAAAGUGAGAGUUGUUGUUCGGGCUGUGAUAUCUUAGAAUUACAAAGGAGAGUUGCGAUUGGUGUUUGGUUAUAAAAAUAUCAGUAGAGUUAUAAUUGUAAUAUAUCAGUAUAUUAAAAAAAAGUUAUUAUCAUUUCACUACUUCAAAAAUUAUCAAUUAUCAAAUGACUACAACAAGUAUUGUCUCCUAUAAUUUUCUUACUAUAUCUUUAUAAAAAUAUCAUUUUACUACUUUUCUGUUAUAACCAUUAGUUAACCAGUUAGUUGACUAACAAAAUACCAAUUUCAUCCUUCAUGAUUAAAAAAAAAAAUACUUGAAACUUAUUUACAAAAUAAAUUUGUAAUAUAUUUAUUAAAAUAGAUAUAUAAUACCAACAUAAUUCUUUUUGCUGGAAUUAUGAUAUAUGGAUUAUAAAUUUGUUUUAUUAUUAUUUUUAAUUAUGAAGGGUAAAAUUGAUAUUUUAUUAGUCAACUAACUGGUCAACUAACGGGUCAACUAACGGUUGUAACGGAAAAGUAGUAAAAUAAUAUUUGUUGUAACGGAAAAGUAGUAAAAUGAUAUUUUUAUAAAGAUAUAGUAGGAAAAUAAUAUGAGACAAUACUUGUUGUAGUCAUUUGAUAUUUAGCAAUUUUUGAAGUAGUAAAAUGAUAAUAACCCUAAAAAAAAUUGUGUAACAAAAUUAUAAAAAAUCAUAAAUAUGUCAUUAAGCAUAUUAAUUGCUAAUCUCUAGUAAAUUGCGUAUAAAUUGAAACAUAAAUUUGACAUUAAGCACUCAGCAGGUUGUAAGAUAUAGAGGAAGAACAUGACAAAAAUAGUUGAGCUAGACACAUGAGAGUAGGAGCGCGUACAUAUAUACAUGAAAAAUACUUCGCUGUUCCAAUAUCUAGUAAAUUGCAAAUUUCUCAUAACUCUUAGAAUUACUUGGAAAAAUUAUUGCUUCUCUAAAUAUUGGAAUUUUUUUUUAGAUUGAUGUUUUUAUUCACAUAACAGGACACACUAAUCUUUAUUGAUAAAUUUGAAAUUUGAUGGAGCACAUAGCAAUACUUCUAAUACUAUAUUCAUUUUAUUUUAUAGAUUAUUUUUCUUUCUAACCUUUAGUGUAUUUUGAGAAAGAUAAAUAAAGAAAAUCUCUAUUCAAAGCAAUUUUUUAGGAGGAAAGAUGGAGAAAGUAUAUCUCAAAGAGAAUUAAAAAAAAAAAUUACCCUGUGAUAAUAGGUGAUAUGAACUUAAAUUUAUGUUGUAAUUAAAGUCGAAUUUCAUCAAUAUGUGAUAUAAGAAUGCAUUUUCUCAUAUUUUCAUCAUUAAUAUAAGAUAUUUAAUGCAUUUUAUCCUAUUUUCUUCGGUUCUUCACUAGGUUUCAAAUAUUAAGACAGGAUCCCAAAAAAAAAAACAAGUUUCAUCGUAGGUAUGAUGUAGAACAUUAUGCAAAACUAAUCAUUAAAAAAAAUAAUUAAUAACUAAUUUUAGAAAAUGAUUGCCUAAGUAAGUGAUUGAAUAGAUGUUACAUUUUUCUACGAUUCUGUACUAUUCAACUUUAUUUUUAAUUUGAAAAAGAUUCUGUAGUAGUUCUCCACAGAAUCUAAGAAAUGCAGCAUCUUAAAACAGUAGUGUUAUGUCAUUUGUUAUAUCAUCCAUUUUUUAGUAAUGACUAUGUUACUCUCUAAAAUUGGUUAUUAUCAGUUUGUCACAAUUUUUUUUAUAUAAAAUAAUUUUUUUUAGGUUAUAGUACGAAUUUUUUUCCUUAAUAAUGGAGAAAAUCUGAGAAGAUGCAUUCUUAUAUUACCACAUAUUUAUGGGAUUGGACUUUAAUUGCAAUAUAGAUUCGAGUUUAUUUUCAUCUAUUCUCACAAGACCCAAAAAAAAAAAAAAAAAAAAAAAAAAUCUCUUUAAAGGCUUAAGGGCUAUAUAUAUAUAUAUAGAGUUGAUUUUUCUUAUGUUUAGAAAGAGUAUAUUGACUGAAGUAGAUUUUCUUUCUCCUUCUUAGGAAAAUCACUUUGGAAUCAAUGCUCAAAAUAAAUAUAUUUGUGUAACCAAUUAAUUUCACAUUUAUCAGUAUAAGUGUAACCAAUUGAUUAAGAUAAAAAAAAUGCAUCAACCUCAAGAAAUAUUAUCAUAUUGAGAGAAGUAGGAACGCAGUGAUUAAGAAAUCUUAUCUUUGUAGGAUUAGUGAAAUACUAGGUAUUUGUGUGACUUCGUAUUUUACUGGGGUUAUUAUCUAGAAAUUUCAAUUUCUUUUUUGUUUUUUUUUUUUAAGUAAACACUCAACUAACCGAGGAGAUUUAUUAAAUUGAAAGAUCAGUAGUAUUUAAUUGGAUUAGGAUUGAACAGUAUUUAACAUUGAGAUUUUAAAAUUUUGAUCUAUUACAUCUCAUCUUCAAAAUUUUAAAUUCUCAAUCUUAAAAUGUAUUCAAUUCUAUUUUAAAUUGAAAUUGAUUAGUCUAUGAAUAAUCAUUCAACGAUUAAAAGUAGUACUACAAACAAGGACACCUUAUUUGACAUACUAGAUACAGAAUUACAAGAAAAUGCAUUUUUUAUAUCACAUGUUUAUGACAUUAGGCUUAAACUUCAAUAUAAAUUCAUCAAGUGUUACCUAUUCUAAGCAAAAAAAACUUCAUUAUAGCACAGAAGGACCAUGUAAACUGCUCAAAGAGAUUUUUUUUUUCUAAUUCUUCUCCUUUUUUUAUUUUUUUUAGAGGAGGUGCACCGAAUGAAUUUGUAUUGAAGUUUAAGCCUAAUGUCAUAAAUAUAUGACAUAAAGAAUGCAUUAUCCUCGGAUAAUAUAUUUAAUUAAAUAGAAUUGAAUCAGAGUAAUUUCUUCUGUCCAAGUUUAUUUGUUUUCAAUAUUUUAGUUUGUUUACUUUUUAUUUUAGAGUUUCGUGUAAAUUUAAAUAACAAAAUAAGUUUAAGAAAACAGCUGGCUUUUUCUAAAGUUGAUAAAUUUUGUGAACAUCAUUGCUAAUAUUACCCGAACUUUGCCAUAAAUCAAUUUAAAAAAAAUAAAUGCUUUCAAAGGAUAUUGAUGUCAUUGCAGGCUCAAUUUUAUUUUCUGAUUGAAAAUAAAUUUUGAUUUUUCUACGAUCAGUAAAGGUUCAAAUUCUUAUUCUAACAACAAACGUUGUUUUGAUACUCUCUGUUAUUAUGUUAUAGAAAUUGGAUUGUUCUUCCCUCAAACUUUUAUUAUGCGGGUAGUUUAGAAGCUUAUUUAUUAGUUCCUCUUAAAGGUUAAACCAGAAUGAAUAUACAAGUACGAACGACAGUGUCAGUUAUUAUAAAAAUUGGUGUAUGACAUCGAGGUUAGAUAGAACACGACAUGUCGGUUGGAAGCUCCAAUUUCAUAUAUGACAUCAAUCUAAUGUCAUACGAAAAAGUUAUAUAAGUGAAGCAUGCGUUUUUCACAUGACCUCAUGGUAUCUUUGAAGCACAAAACAGUAAGCUCAGGGUGCCGUUUGAAUAACUUAUUUGUAUCACAUGAUUUGCACGUGACAAAUGCUGUUAAAGUUAGUUAAAAGAGGCGGGAAGAUUCUAGGUUUGUUUCAACAAACCCAGAAACUUAGCUUAGCUACUGAACCAACUUCUAGGAGCUUCCUAGACCUGUAUAUAAAGCCAUAGUGGCUCUAAUCUCGGUGAGGGUAUUCCUUGUAACUCUCUCUACAAACUUGUAACCUGGUUUGAGUGAAUUGACGAAAAAAGCCAUGAUAUGUUUCUCAAAGAGGACGUAAGCCACCUUCGCUGAACCUCUAUAAAUCUAUUGUUUUGAUUUUCAUCUAUUCUUUUAAGCUUGUUUGACGUUAGAUUAUUUCUUGUUUGUCUUAUUAUUGUUCUUUGAUUCAUUAAUUAGCAAUCGUUUUGGGGCGAAAGAUCAGGAUUUAUCAAAUUUAAAAAAAUUAGUAUCAAGCUGGACCCUAAUAACCAAAAUGUGAUGGUGGAACAACUUAAAUUUGUGAUGGUGGAACAACUUAAAUUUGUUGGACAAAAAGACUAGAGUCCAGUAGUGGUUUCAUCCGGGGGGAGAUUGUUAAAUUGUGUCCCACAUUAACUAGUAAAUAGAAAAUACAUGAGUUAAUAAGUAUGAUAUAACACUUCAUCAAAUAAGUUCGUUUUUUUGGUUGGGUACCUAGAAAUAUAAGCCAAGUCCCCAACAAUUCCUACCAUAAUUAAUGGUAAAUAUUUAUUUAGUGGGAAAAAAAAAGAGAAAUUUAUUAUACAAAAAUCUCUUUGUUCAAUAAGUGAAACUUUACUUCAUGUGAAUGAUAGAAAAGAUAAUUCAAAUAGAACAUACACAUAUUUGUAAUUGAAUCCCUAAAAGCUGUGAUAUGGUUUAGUAGUAUCCCUAUACACAGAAAUUUCUAGUCAUUGAAAGAUUUGUAUGAUAUGUAUAGGUUAUUUUUUGUUAGUCACCACCCCUCUUAAUACUUGUCCUGUCAAAGCACGGUCAAUUGCAAUCUGACAAGAGUAGUAUCGACGGCGCUUGGAAACAUCAGUGUCUUCCAGUUGACCAAUUUCUUUCCUUCACCAAAUCAUUCCCAACAACAAGAUCUUCCACUGACCAUGAUGUGGAGCCUGAGUAAUAUAUGGAUUAGCAUUAGAAUGUGCGCAGUUUAAGGUAACUAGAUGCCAAAUCAAACGUAUAAUUAAAUAGUAGGUUUAUCAGUUCAAUACCUUGAACUGAGGCAAUAAUUGAUUGUUCGAUUUGGGGGAAUAGUUUCCUGCGCCCGUAAAUGGCAUCUCGGGCCAUCUUUGUCCCAUGUAUCCUUACCCUGUAAAAAAGGGAAAAAAUAAAAAUGUGUUAACAAAGAUGCUUAAUUAAAACAAUUUAAAAAGAUAAAAUAAAUAUAUUAACACACUUACUGGGACUUGUCAACAGCAGGAUCAAAUAUCUGGUAAAUCACUAAUUCGAUAUUUAUAAAAUUACUUUUAUUAUUAAUAUUUUUCUCGAUAUUAUAAUAUUUCGUGAGAUUGAUGGGUUAUUUGUUCUUAGUAGUGCACAUUUAUCUUUGCUAAUAAAUGUGAAAUUUGGUGAAUCACAUGCCAAUAUUUGUAAUACUAUAUCCAUUAAUUCUGUAAAUUUUUUGUAGACUUUUAGGUAUACUUUGAAGGAGAGAAAGAAUACAUAGCACUUAAAGAGAUGUUAUUUUUGUUUUAUGAGAGUAUGUGGACAAUGAACUGAAAUUUAUAAUGUAGUUAAUGUUUAAUAUCAUAAAUAUGAGGCCAUAUAAAAAUGCUUAUCCUCAGAUUUUCUUUCUUUAAUGUCAUAAAAAUGUGACCAUAAAAGAAUGCUUAUCGUUAGAUUUUCCUUCCGUUAAUGUGAUAAUUAAAUAUGCGACCAUAUAAUACAUAUUCUCAAAAUUUUC
This 6186-nucleotide long non-coding RNA is filed under the name Citrus maxima (pomelo). RNAcentral describes it as "long non-coding RNA (CMAX_LNC004094)". Lineage: Eukaryota; Viridiplantae; Streptophyta; Magnoliopsida; Sapindales; Rutaceae. The record is from RNAcentral.